This 911-nucleotide ribosomal RNA is filed under the name Juxtiphoma eupyrena. Its description in RNAcentral is "LSU rRNA". It matches the Rfam family "Eukaryotic large subunit ribosomal RNA", at positions 38 to 964 of the family's 3401-position model. Lineage: Eukaryota; Fungi; Ascomycota; Dothideomycetes; Pleosporales; Didymellaceae. The record is from RNAcentral.
GCAUAUCAAUAAGCGGAGGAAAAGAAACCAACAGGGGAUUGCCCUAGUAACGGCGAAGUGAAGCGGCAACAGCUCAAAUUUGAAAUCUGGCGUCUUUGGCGUCCGAGUUGUAAUUUGCAGAGGGCGCUUUGGCAUUGGCAGCGGUCCAAGUUCCUUGGAACAGGACGUCACAGAGGGUGAGAAUCCCGUACGUGGUCGCUAGCCUUUACCGUGUAAAGCCCCUUCGACGAGUCGAGUUGUUUGGGAAUGCAGCUCUAAAUGGGAGGUAAAUUUCUUCUAAAGCUAAAUACUGGCCAGAGACCGAUAGCGCACAAGUAGAGUGAUCGAAAGAUGAAAAGCACUUUGGAAAGAGAGUUAAAAAGCACGUGAAAUUGUUGAAAGGGAAGCGCUUGCAGCCAGACUUGCCUGUAGUUGCUCAUCCGGGUUUUUACCCGGUGCACUCUUCUAUAGGCAGGCCAGCAUCAGUUUGGGCGGUUGGAUAAAGGUCUCUGUCAUGUACCUCUCUUCGGGGAGAACUUAUAGGGGAGACGACAUGCAACCAGCCUGGACUGAGGUCCGCGCAUCUGCUAGGAUGCUGGCGUAAUGGCUGUAAGCGGCCCGUCUUGAAACACGGACCAAGGAGUCUAACAUCUAUGCGAGUGUUUGGGUGUCAAGCCCGAGCGCGUAAUGAAAGUGAACGGAGGUGGGAACCCCUCGGGGUGCACCAUCGACCGAUCCUGAUGUCUUCGGAUGGAUUUGAGUAAGAGCAUAGCUGUUGGGACCCGAAAGAUGGUGAACUAUGCUUGAAUAGGGUGAAGCCAGAGGAAACUCUGGUGGAGGCUCGCAGCGGUUUCUGACGUGCAAAUCGAUCGUCAAAUUUGGGCAUAGGGGCGAAAGACUAAUCGAACUAUCUAGUAGCUGGGUUCCUGCGA